This 674-nucleotide ribosomal RNA is filed under the name Salmonella enterica. Its description in RNAcentral is "partial 23S ribosomal RNA". It matches the Rfam family "Bacterial large subunit ribosomal RNA", at positions 2259 to 2925 of the family's 2925-position model. The record is from RNAcentral. Lineage: Bacteria; Pseudomonadati; Pseudomonadota; Gammaproteobacteria; Enterobacterales; Enterobacteriaceae. RNAcentral also lists the same sequence under 1 other name.
UGGUGGGUAGUUUGACUGGGGCGGUCUCCUCCUAAAGAGUAACGGAGGAGCACGAAGGUUGGCUAAUCCUGGUCGGACAUCAGGAGGUUAGUGCAAUGGCAUAAGCCAGCUUGACUGCGAGCGUGACGGCGCGAGCAGGUGCGAAAGCAGGUCAUAGUGAUCCGGUGGUUCUGAAUGGAAGGGCCAUCGCUCAACGGAUAAAAGGUACUCCGGGGAUAACAGGCUGAUACCGCCCAAGAGUUCAUAUCGACGGCGGUGUUUGGCACCUCGAUGUCGGCUCAUCACAUCCUGGGGCUGAAGUAGGUCCCAAGGGUAUGGCUGUUCGCCAUUUAAAGUGGUACGCGAGCUGGGUUUAGAACGUCGUGAGACAGUUCGGUCCCUAUCUGCCGUGGGCGCUGGAGAACUGAGGGGGGCUGCUCCUAGUACGAGAGGACCGGAGUGGACGCAUCACUGGUGUUCGGGUUGUCAUGCCAAUGGCACUGCCCGGUAGCUAAAUGCGGAAGAGAUAAGUGCUGAAAGCAUCUAAGCACGAAACUUGCCCCGAGAUGAGUUCUCCCUGAGACUUAAAGUCUCCUGAAGGAACGUUGAAGACGACGACGUUGAUAGGCCGGGUGUGUAAGCGCAGCGAUGCGUUGAGCUAACCGGUACUAAUGAACCGUGAGGCUUAACCUUAC